UACGUAGGGUGCAAGCGUUGUCCGGAAUUAUUGGGCGUAAAGAGCUCGUAGGCGGUUUGUUGCGUCGGCUGUGAAAACCUGAGGCUCAACCUCAGGCCUGCAGUCGAUACGAGCAGACUAGAGUGUUGCAGGGGAGACUGGAAUUCCUGGUGUAGCGGUGAAAUGCGCAGAUAUCAGGAGGAACACCGGUGGCGAAGGCGGGUCUCUGGGCCGUAACUGACGCUGAGGAGCGAAAGCAUGGGGAGCGAACAGG
RNAcentral lists this ribosomal RNA (253 nucleotides) under uncultured bacterium. RNAcentral's name for it is "partial 16S ribosomal RNA". It matches the Rfam family "Bacterial small subunit ribosomal RNA", at positions 524 to 776 of the family's 1533-position model. The record is from RNAcentral.